Molecule: non-coding RNA, 204 nt
Organism: Vicugna pacos (alpaca)
Lineage: Eukaryota; Metazoa; Chordata; Mammalia; Artiodactyla; Camelidae
Source: RefSeq, a predicted model, not a curated record
GAAGCUUGUGAGCCAGAUCCUGUUGUUUCCGUAGUUUGCUUUCUUGAUUUUUAUAUUAAUUUGCUUUGGAUUUUUCUUUUUCAUAUUUCUUAUUCAAGUUUGAUAAUUGAAGGGGAAGAGCAUGAAUUGCUUCAGGGCACCAGACAUUCCUAAACAGUGCUUGCAUUACGAACUCCAUAUCCAGCUACAGACUGCCAUCAAGAA